RNAcentral lists this ribosomal RNA (254 nucleotides) under uncultured bacterium. RNAcentral's name for it is "partial 16S ribosomal RNA". It matches the Rfam family "Bacterial small subunit ribosomal RNA", at positions 521 to 774 of the family's 1533-position model. The record is from RNAcentral.
UAAUACAGAGGGUGCGAGCGUUAAUCGGAAUUACUGGGCGUAAAGCGCGCGUAGACGGUUUUGUAAGUCAGAUGUGAAAUCCCUGGGCUCAACCUGGGAACUGCAUUUGAGACUGCAUGGCUAGAGUAUGGAAGAGGGAAGUGGAAUUUCCGGUGUAGCGGUGAAAUGCGUAGAUAUCGGAAGGAACACCAGUGGCGAAAGCGACUUCCUGGUCCAAUACUGACGUUCAUGUGCGAAAGCGUGGGGAGCAAACA